This 149-nucleotide unclassified non-coding RNA is filed under the name uncultured Westerdykella. RNAcentral's name for it is "sequence contains ITS1". The record is from RNAcentral. Lineage: Eukaryota; Fungi; Ascomycota; Dothideomycetes; Pleosporales; Sporormiaceae.
UCGUGGAGCUCCGGCUCCUUCGAGGGAGAACCCUUGCCUUUUCGAGCACCUGUUUGUUUCCUCGGCAGGCCCGCCUGCCAAUGAGGACCUCUUAAACUCUUGCAAUAAACCUGAACACAAAUUGUCUGAAAUAAAAAAAUCUAAAAUCA